This 5385-nucleotide long non-coding RNA is filed under the name Homo sapiens (human). RNAcentral's name for it is "HSALNT0219980". The record is from RNAcentral. Lineage: Eukaryota; Metazoa; Chordata; Mammalia; Primates; Hominidae.
UAAAUAUUUGCGCUCGCGUGUGUCUGUGGCAGCAUCUGUGUGUGUAUGUGAGACUGAAAGGAGGUGGGAGAUGAGGAGGGGAAGGGAAUCAGCUCCAGCAGCAACAGGCUCUAUUCUUCAGUUCUGCUAAAAGAAAGAGGAAGAGAGGAAGAAAAAAAUAGACACUCCUUUUUUUUCUCACGACACACCCUGAAGGAGAAGGCGCCUAGGCGCUGUCCGUAGUGCUGAAAUGGUGCGUGGUGAGACCUGUCUCCCCAACACAAGCUAGAAGACAACAAAAUAGCAGCCAGGAAACGCUCUGAUAAAGCUCUAGAUAGCUGCCAGGUGAUGCCAGAGAUUACUAGUUUUGGGACCAAUUAAAGUAGCAAGAUGCAGCCAGGAGUGGUGGCUUAUGCCUGUAAUCCCAGCACUUUGGGAGGCCGAGGUAGGAGGAUCACCUGAGGCCGAGCUCAAGGGAGCAGAACUAAGUUACAUGAUUCUGCUGCGGAUGUAUAAGCACCACUCCAAUAAUUUAUUAUCACGGUUGGAGACUUUGACUUGUCACUUUAUGACUUGAAAUAUGGCUCCAUGGUAAAUGCCCAUAAAGCUGAUUUUUAAAAUCUGGAUAUUACAGUUCUAAUUCUCACUUAGUUUAAAAGGUAGAAUAGGCUUCUUGUUUCAUAGAUCAUUUGUGUGAAUGUUGAUUUGUUAUGUCAUUGACAUCAUACACACAUGCUUACAUUUUGAAGGUUGCUAGCGUUUCCCAUUAAUGCUUCUGAAUUGAUGCCAAAGGAAAGCAUUGAUUAUAAAUUAGGUUCCUUGGUAUUAGUUGGUGCAUGACCCUGACCCUUUUCAAGCUAUAUGAAAGGUAAUGAUGCUCUCAAAAGCCUGCAAAAUGGCUUAUUCAGGAAAGCAUAAUGGAUUAAAAAUCCAUUAGGUUCCACUUUCUUUGCUAGAUGCUGAGAUACAAAGAUAAAUGAGAUUUGGUCUCUGCCCUCGAGGAGAUACGUGGCAAAAUAAUAUGGUAAGUUCUACAAAGUUCUAUACAAACACAGAUUAAUAUGCUAUUCAUGUUUUAUUAGCCAUUGCCAAAGAAGGGAUGAAGAACUGCAAAAAGAUAAAACACAGAAUACUUGUACUUCAGGUCCUUGCCAAUAUCUACUGCCCAACUUUUACAAAAAAAAUUGCUGAAAGGCAUGAAAUAUAUGAAUGCCUUUCUAAAGCACAUGUGGAUAAUCUAUACUUCUGGAGCAUCUAUGAUUUAUUUUCAGAACAAUCCAAGUUAUUAGAAAGGUAAAUAUGUUGGUGACAUUGUUUAGAAGUUCCUCAAGCAGAAUUGCCUUUACUAUGCUUUGACAUUAUGCUCUCAGCUUAUAUACAGUAAUUCUAUGUGAAACAGUAGCCAGCUUACACAACCUGCUCUAUAUCUACUACAGAGCUGUUACUAAAGUGUUGGUCAACAUAUAACUUACUAUUUCUUAUAUAAAGAUGCCCAAGAAAUUUAGAUUUCAUAGAUAUAUCCCCAAAAGCAUUUCUUUCAAUACCAGUUUAAUGAAUUGAACUUUCAUACCUCACUUAAAUCAACCCAGGGUAAAGUGGUAUGUUCUGUUCUUACACACAAUGAAAAUCAUGUAACUAAUUAAAGUUAGCAUUUAUUUUAGCUACUAGGGAUGCCAGAGUCAAAUUAACAGCUGAAAAUGAAUAACUACAUAAGACCUUAAGCCUUUUAUAUCUUUUCUUUUUUUUUAAUCACCUUAACUACUGCAAUUUUGGUUUCUUAGGUAAUGAUAAUAUUAUUUUCUUUUAAUUAUUUGUUUUAAUGUGUGACCUCAUGUAAAUGUCCUCAUAAAAUCAGAAGUGGAGUAAAUAAAUAAAUAAAGUAAAUUUCUCUACUUUUUGAUUAUUGGGUGAGUGUAUAUGGUUGUUUUAUAAAUUUAUUCUAAAUAGGAUACUAAAAUACAGAAAAUGUAUCAUCUAAUUAGCUAUGAAGAUAAAAAUCUAAACUAUAAUGAGGAAAUAUUAAAAUGUCAAGAUGACGAAGAAAUUUUUCAGUUUAUAUAAUUAUAGAUCAGCUUAAUUUCAAACCACUUUGUUACCCUAUUGCUAUUUUUAUACUCUAAAUAGUGUCCCUUAUAUGACUAAGACUUUUUGUUAUCUCAGAGAUUGGAAGUGUUAAUUGUCCACCUUGUUAGAAGACAUGGUAACUAUAGGAAUUUAGAAAGCAUGAUAGCCCAACUGUAAUGAAUAUAUUCUAGAAUGAGGUUGUCACAAAGAAACUGAAAACAAGAAUUUCCUCUAACAACUGAGCUCAGGAUUCUUUUCAGAGGAAAAUUUAGCUUGCAUAAAUUCUUGCCAUCUUGGCUCUAGUUGACUUCUUGCUCUCAACUUUUGCAAAGUGAGAUCACCUUUACCUCUUCAACCUAUGAGGCCAACAUGUUACUUUCAAUUUUUCAGGAAAAUCUACGUCUUGUUUGGCUGAGGUUUGAUUAUUAUUCCUUAACUAAAAUAUUUUAAUGUAGCUGUGCUUUUUAAUUUGAAUAUUGCUAUUGAUUCAAACAUUGGGUAGCAUAUCUUUCAAAUGUGAAAUUUUAAAACAUGUAUUAAAGACAAACAUAAAUUAGUUUUGGUAUAACUAUUUUUUAAGAUUAAUCCAAUGCUUUUUUGGCUUUAGAUGAUGUUUGGUAAUUAGCUAUAUUCAAAAGUCAACCUUUUUUUUUUUUCAAAAAAUGAACUCCUAUGUAUAUGAGUGUUAUUUUUAUCUACCCAUGUCUUUUUUGUCUACAUAUACAGUUUUAAUCAUUGUUUCGGGGGGAGGAAUAAGAAUGAUUUUGAAAUUUCACUAAGAAAGAUAUGCCCUCUUCCUAAAAAUACAUAUAUACAGAUGUUUUGCUCACAGCUCAGGUAUUCAUGGAUCUCUGGAAGUUCAUUUUUAUAAUCCCAAGGUAAUCCAAAGAGCCUGCUAAAAAAUUCUGCUGUAAAUGCAUGGUACAUGAUCUCAUUCCCUGUUUUACAACGAAGUAUUGAAUGGCUUAAACUCCUACUUUUUUUUUUUUUUUUUUUUUUGAGAUGGAGUCUCCCUCUGUUACCCAGGCUGGAGUGCAGUGGCUCGAUCUCUGCUCACUGCAACCUCUGCCUCCUGGGUUCAAGCGAUUCUCCUGCCUCAGCCUUCUGAGUAACUGGGAUUACAAGCACAUGCCAUCAGGCCUGGCUAAUUUUUAUUUUUUUUUUGUAUUUUUAGUACAAUCAGGGUUUCAGCAUGUUGGUCAGGCUGGUCUCGAACUCCUGACCUCAUGAUCCGCCUGCCUUGGCUUCCCAAAAUGCUGGGAUUACAGGCGUGAGCCAACGCGCCUGGCCAACUCCUACAUAUUUUAAAGCCACCCCAUUAGUUUUCUAUUUUUUUCCCCUUGGAGAUCUUCCUUUAGGUCAUUUUUACCAUCUGAUAUCUCAAAACUAAGCCAAGGCUGAAUGUGCUGAAAUAGGAUUAGAGAGUACAGUAAUAGGAUAAUUAGAUUUGAUUAGAAAAUGACUGUGUGGGAUUUUGUCAACAGUGAAGAAAUGAUCUAAGUAUGUGGACUCCUAAGUGAAUUGAGCAUGAUGACACUUUAGUGUAGUUAAUGAUCUAAUGCUGGUCUGGUUGAUGAGUCCCAUUGAAAAUGAGAUGCUCUGUUUUCUGGUAAACUUUUCUGCAAAGAAAAAUGUACUAAAUGUUUCAGUUCAGAGUGUUCUAUUUAAAUGAAAUUUCAUUUAAUUGCUUUUAGUUUUACUGCCCAUAAGCCUUCAGUUGUUUCAUUUAAAGUGUACUUUAAGCCCUCCACUAUAUUCACUGUUGAAUCUAAUGAGUAUGAGAGGGUACCUUGGGCACAAUCUCCACGAAUGUAUGAGCCAUAACUACAGUAUAGUAUAUAGAGAUUAGCUUAAGUUAUUUUGCUCUGCUAAAGAUAGAGAAACAAGAGCAGUUUUCUAACAUAAUGUAUGCUUCUGUAAUAGGACUCAGUUAAAAAAUAAUUGGCAAAUAGGAAUGUCAAUGAAAUGUGGAAAUCAAUUGUUUUAUACAUGAUUUUCCCCAAUACGUUAAUGUUUUGACUACCAAGUAAAAGCAGUUGCACUCUAAGUCCACUAACACAGCUGAAGGUAGUAAGCUGUGGAGGAAAGUAGUCCUAUAUAUAACACCCAUUCACUCCUCCUUUUUCCUCUUGGCUUAAUUUCACCAUACGAUCUGUCUUGAAAAUGCUUAUUGCACAAUUCUUCCUGAUCUUUGUGCAUUUGUCCUUGUUUUUGUAACUCAACCUUUGGUUUAUUUAUUCCAUCAUUCUUUCCUAACUCAAACAAAUUUGUGAAGUUCUAAAUGUAUUGAAAUAUAUGUCGUAACUUUUAUUUUUAAUUGUGCUAGCAUUUUCUUAGCUUUGUAAAUGUUUUUUGCAGUGCUAUGGUUGUGAUGUUAUGUAAGUUUUACACUUUUUUCUCCAACAUAAUUUUUUCCCGAAAUAUUGCCAGUUAUUUUUGUUAUUGAAUAGACUUAAUUUUCUUAGAGCAGUUUCAGGAUUACAGAAAAGUCAGAGAGUACAGAAAGUUCCCAUAUAUCUCCCAUCCCUUUUCUCACAGUUUCACUUGUUAUUAACAUCUUACAUUAGUGUGGUACAUUUGUUAACAAUUGAUAAAACAAUUUUGUUACAUUAUUAUUAAGUACACAGUUUACACUAGAGUUUAUUCUUUUUGUUGGUCAGUUCUAUGAGUUUUGAAUAGUGUAUAAUGUCAUAUAUUCACCAUUAUAUUGUCAUGCAGAAUAGUUUCACAUUUCUGAAUAUCCCCUAUUUAUCCCUUCCUCUUCCCCUCACAAACCCCUGGAAUCCAUUGAUCUGAAACUGUCUUGCAGUUUUCUCUUUUCCAGAAUGUAUGUAUAGAGUCAUACAGACUCUGUUGCCCUUUCAAACUGGCUUCUUUCAUUUAACAACACGCAUGUAAGCAUCCUUCAUGACUUUUCAUGGCUUGAUAGCUCAUUUAUUUUUUAUUGUUCAAUAAUAUUUCAUUGUAUGGAUAUGCCACAGUUUAUUUAUCUAUAUAUCUGUUGAAAGAUAUCUCGGUUACUUCCAAUUUUUGGCAAUUAUGAAUAAAGAUACUAUAAAUAUUUGUGUGCAGGCUUUUGUGUGGACAUAAGUUUUCAAUUUGUUUCAGCAAAUAACUAACAGCGUGAUUGUUGGAUUCUAUGGUAAGACUAUAUUUAGCUGUGUAAGAAAUUGCCAUACUGUCUUCCAAAGUGGCUGCAUCAUUUUGUAUUUCUACCAGUAAUUAAUGAGAGUUCCUGUUGCUCCACAUCAUCUUCAACAUUUAGUGUUGUCAGUGUUUUGGAUUUUAGCCAUUCCAAUAAUAUAUAGUGGUUUCUCAUUAUUGUUCCAAUUUUCAACCCCC